GGAUGUGAGGGCGAUCUGGCUGCGACAUCAGUCACCCCAUUGAUCGCCAGGGUUGAUUCGGCUGAUCUGGCUGGCUAGGUGGGUGCCCCCUUCGCCCUCAACGAUCCAUGUGCAUCCCUCCCGAAGUUGCGCGCUUGGUCAAAGAGGACGACCACCCCUGAUAGAGGAGGACCGUUCCUCGGUCAAGGGUAUAGGAGUAGCUGCGCUCCCCUUCUAGAACCUCCAAAAAGCUCUCAUGUAAAAGCAAAUUGCCUGGAGGCCUGCCCCUUAGCUCAGUUCUUUAAGUGGCUGCUUCAACAAAGCAGUCAGGCUCA
RNAcentral lists this small nuclear RNA (314 nucleotides) under Octodon degus (degu). Its description in RNAcentral is "7SK RNA (ENSODEG00000023065.1)". It matches the Rfam family "7SK RNA". From Rfam's summary of the family: 7SK was discovered as an abundant small nuclear RNA in the mid-70s but a possible function has only recently been suggested. Two independent studies have found that 7SK RNA binds the CDK9/cyclin T complex (known as elongation factor P-TEFb). Lineage: Eukaryota; Metazoa; Chordata; Mammalia; Rodentia; Octodontidae. The record is from Rfam by way of RNAcentral.